RNAcentral lists this long non-coding RNA (220 nucleotides) under Nicotiana benthamiana. RNAcentral's name for it is "long non-coding RNA (NBEN_LNC009030)". Lineage: Eukaryota; Viridiplantae; Streptophyta; Magnoliopsida; Solanales; Solanaceae. The record is from RNAcentral.
ACUGGAGAGGUGUGCUAGAUUACUUGAAUACCGCGCAUUAAACAGCUGAUAAUUCUGGUAGUUCCCAAGAAUUCAUUCGCACGCUUAUACUCAGCAUGUGAGACAAUUAUUUAGAAAAUGCUGUAGAUUGUGUGAGCUACCAAACACAUAUGUUGGUACUUGAUUCCAAUUUCCAAGCAGAUUUGAAUGCUGCCAGUUCAUUAUUUUGACUAGAGGCUGC